AGAGUUUGAUCCUGGCUCAGGACGAACGCUGGCGGCGUGCUUCACACAUGCAAGUCGAACGGGGUCCAACUAGUGGCAACACUCAGGAAGAUCUAGUGGCGAACGGGUGCGUAACACGUGAGGAACCUACCCCGGACUCUGGAAUAACAGCGGGAAACCGCUGCUAAUACUGGAUAUCGUCGCACGGUCGCAUGGCCGAGUGACGAAAGAUUUAUCGGUUCGGGACGGUCUCGCGGCCUAUCAGCUUGUUGGCGGGGUAACGGCCCACCAAGGCAUCGACGGGUAGCUGGUCUGAGAGGAUGAUCAGCCACACUGGGACUGAGACACGGCCCAGACUCCUACGGGAGGCAGCAGUGGGGAAUCUUGCGCAAUGGGCGAAAGCCUGACGCAGCAACGCCGCGUGGGGGAUGAAGGCUCUCGGGUUGUAAACCCCUUUCAGCAGGAACGAAAAUGACGGUACCUGCAGAAGAAGGCCCGGCCAACUACGUGCCAGCAGCCGCGGUAAUACGUAGGGGCCAAGCGUUGUCCGGAUUUAUUGGGCGUAAAGAGCUCGUAGGCGGUUUGGAUAGUCGGGUGUGAAAACUCCGAGCUCAACUCGGAGACGCCACCCGAUACUGCCACGACUAGAGUCCGGUAGGGGAGCAGGGAAUUCCUGGUGUAGCGGUGAAAUGCGCAGAUAUCAGGAGGAACACCGGUGGCGAAGGCGCUGCUCUGGGCCGGUACUGACGCUGAGGAGCGAAAGCGUGGGUAGCAAACAGGAUUAGAUACCCUAGUAGUCC
This 779-nucleotide ribosomal RNA is filed under the name uncultured bacterium. RNAcentral describes it as "bacterial SSU rRNA". It matches the Rfam family "Bacterial small subunit ribosomal RNA", at positions 8 to 796 of the family's 1533-position model. The record is from RNAcentral.